Strigops habroptila (Kakapo) is the source of this 1265-nucleotide long non-coding RNA. NCBI's taxonomy places the organism in Eukaryota, Metazoa, Chordata, Aves, Psittaciformes, Psittacidae. The record is from Ensembl.
GUAAGUAUUUGUUUAUUCACACAACUUCCAAAUGAACCCCCUUCCUUAAGCCUUAGCUUAAGGCUUAAACCAGAAGAGCACCCAGCAUGCUUCCUGGAGCUGAAUGCAGCUCAGGCGAAUUCAACUCACUUGGGUUUUUUUUUAACCUGUAGGGUGAUUUUCCCUUUCUUCUUUUCAUUUUGCUGCAGGUGAAGACCACAAGGUUCCUGCACACACCCAGAAAUCGUAAUUUCUACUGUUGGAAUGAAGCCCUUGAGUGAGAUGUUGAGAUAAAGCACUGAAACAAGUUUUUUGGGGUCAAGUUUAUAUGAUCUUUUCAAAACAUAAUUGGUUCUUUGCAUCUGUUCAGUCUAACCUACCGCUUAGAGCACUGCCAUGGGGGGUGGACUGCGGGAGCUGCUGCCAGAUCUUGCCUUCCAUCCUUCUUCCUACAAAGCACACAUGUGCAGUCAGGCCUGCGGGUUGUGCAUCGGUCUACUGAGGAAUCCAUGCUGUGUUGCCACAGAUAAUGAUGUUGAUGCACACGGAUAGCGAGGUAUUGAGCUGGCAGCUGUUUUCUUGCCCCUAUCUUAUAACACCAGACGGCGUCAGGGGUGGCAGCCACACAACUUGGGUAUCCUGUGGGCAUCUCAGCUCCUGCUGGCCAAGGUGAAAGCUGCCUGGUGCUCAGCACUGCUCCUGUCUCCCUGGGCUGAGAUCGGAGCUUGGGGCAGCCCCAAGUGCUGGAUGACAGUGGAAAUUCCAGUGUGAAUGCUCUCCAUCCCUCCCCUCAGCAAUAACGCCACUCCAGCGCUCUCCUCAAGGUCCUGGCAAGCUUUUCAGACCUCAUCACGUCUCGGGAUGGUACAUUACUGCCAAUAAACUCCGCGUGCUGUAAAUUAAUUCGCUCCUGUGAUGUGCAAACACUCUUCUCGGCGGAGCAGCGCUGUUACUCAACAGGAAGCAUCCGCAGCCUGACCCGGAGCGUGUCCUUGACUAACGUUCACAAGCACCGCGCAACAGCGGCGCUCCGGGCGCCGGGCCCCCACACGGCCGGCUGCGGGGCCGCGUUCGGCCCGGAUCAGGGGGUGACACCGGGGGGGGGGGGGCAGUGGGGGUGCCCCGUCCCGCACACAACCGGCGGGUUCGCCCCGCGCUGCCUCAGGCGGCGCCGCGGAACGUUCUAGGGCCGCGGGCGGGGCGAGGGGCGCGCGGAGCACCCCCCCACCGCCGCCGCGACGCGCGCAACCGCCUCAAGCUUGUCCCUCGCGGCGCGCCGUCCGCCC